This 34084-nucleotide long non-coding RNA is filed under the name Triticum aestivum (bread wheat). RNAcentral describes it as "long non-coding RNA (TAES_LNC021671)". Lineage: Eukaryota; Viridiplantae; Streptophyta; Magnoliopsida; Poales; Poaceae. The record is from RNAcentral.
AGUAAAUGUUUGGGGUGCUCUUAGGUGCUGGUCAGAUGCAGGUAUACCAUUCCUCCUUGUUGAACGGAGAGUGUAAAAAAUGGCCCUGGGGCGACGCGCUAUGCUAUCUUGCGCUAUAAAAAUGGCCCUGGAGUUGAAGAACAUGUGGCCGGGAGCGCAUGAUUUGUCGUUUUGCGUCUUUCCUUUGCGUUGGGUUCUUUUGUGGUGUGUAAAGAGUGCUUGUCUGGUGAUUUGAUACAUCAUUUUGGUGUGGUUGCAACAUUGGCCUGCAGAGCAACCGAUGAUCUCGCAUGUAUGACCAGGCAACCUGUGUAUAUGAAAACUUGAAAGAUCACAGAUUAGUCCAGUUACUCCUUUUGCAGUUUACGAUAUGAUAUGAUUUGAUUUGAAAGUGAUAGACACCGUCGUUUCAAGUUCUUCCUAGUUCUGCUACCGGCCUUUUUUUUGAAGAUAUAGUGGAAAUCCGUGACCUCUUGCAGGGAAAAAGUAGUUUUUAAAACUAGUUACUGCACCUUUUAAAAUGACUUCUAGUGUCAAAAAAGACAACUCUAUGGCUAUAUAACUCGAGCAUUAUUUGUUUAUAUCUCAAUGUUUUUUCCUGCAAAAAAAAUGAUCAUAUUUUUUGAUGAAAAUUUAGAAGUUCAUGGCAAGAGGUGAACUGUAUUUUCCAUUAAACAUUUGUCUAUGUGGGCGUCUGAUAGGUGUGUACAAUGUGUUUUUGUUUUAGGUUUCUAGUUUUUGCAGAAAGAAAAAUUUAAAAAUUACCCAUCAAUAUGAGACAGGGCCCAAGUGUGAAAAUUUAGAAGUUCAUGGCAAGAGGUGAACUGUAUUUUCCAUUAAUACAAGACGUUUUGGCAGUUUAAUUUUAGCUGAGGAAAAAUAGCAAUUGCGCAUUAGGUGCUCGCUUGUUGCGCACAUGAACGGCUGUCCCUUUCUCCCUUAUUGCGCAUCAGGUAUUCUAGACUCUAGAUUACUCCCUCCGUCCCACAAUAUAAGAGCAUUUUGCAAGUUUUUUUUUUUGAACAAGGGAAGGGUCCAAAAGGACCUAGUCAUCCAUUGAUAAGCAUGAUAGUACAUUUUACAACAAGACCCCAUGGAAAUAGAAAAUUAUGAACUAGGCCCUGCAUUAUGCAAACAAGACCCUGAACAAUGGAAGAAGAUUGCAACCGGGUUCGAACUAUUUGCACCCCGGUGGAUUCAACCUUGCCGGUGCCGGGGACAGCACCACUUGGGCCAACGAGACAUCCAUGACUCCAUGCCAUAGACUCCACCGUGAAGUAGGACUGCCUCCCCUUUGGCAUCUUGGCCGGGAGGAAUGAAGAUGGUCACCCUUCGACCCGAGGAUAUGGCGGGUCGUCAGAGACCGGGCAGCAACCAAGAAGGGCGCCAUAGCAUCUCCAAAUCCACCGUCGUGUGUUCUCACACACCCCAACCGCAGUGUCCAUCUUCCCUUGCACUACUAGGAAAAGGGCUAUAGAUGGAAUUGACACUAAUGGCGCACCAGACAUGUGGUGCGCCAUUAGUAUAUACUAAUGGCGCACCACCUUCUGAUGCGCCAUUAGUGUUGAAACUACUAAUGGCGCACCCUGCCCACGGUGCGCCAUUAGUACCAAUUUUUUUUUGAACUAGUGCGCCUGUCCAAACAUACUAAUGGCGCAUCCACUGGUGGUGCGCCAUUACUAGUUGUAACUAGUAAUGGCGCACCAGCCAGAAGGUGCGCCACUAAAGUUAUUUUUUUUAUUAUUGUUUUUAUUCCUUUUUUUGCAAAAGUACUAAUGGCACACUCACACGCGGUGCGCCAUUACUAGUUCAAACUAGUAAUGGCGCACCGUGGCAGAGUGCGCCAUUAGUAUGUUUUUUUUUGCAAAACUACUAAUGGCGCACCAUCAGGGGGUGCGCCAUUAGUAACCUGGAUUACUAAUGGCACAUUUGUUGCUGGUGCGCCAUUAGUAAGUGGGCAGCAACAAGAUAUUUUGGACAGCCUCUCCUCCCACACUCACUUUCUCCCCACUUCAUUCUCUCCACCGCCUCCUCCUUGUCUCGGGUGCCUCCUCUUUUUCACCUCAUUUCCACCAUAGAUUCAUUCAAAUUAAGUGGUUAAGUUACCUUGUUUUGCUAGGUAAGUAAGGGGGAAGCUAUAUUUAUGUUGUUCUCCCUACAACAAUGUGCACAUGCACUUUUUAUGGCCUAGCUAGAUCUAUGUAUGUUCGUGGUGUUGCAUAUGUUUGUGGUGUUGCAUAUGUGUUUGUGUUUGGAGGUGUACCAGUAUUUGAAAUGCGAUAGUUGCCAAUAUUUUGCCGGAAUGUUUAUUCAUUUCCCUUUCGGCGAGAAUUUUGGCAUUAAGCAUUCUUUUUGGUCCUAUUUUUAGGGAAAGUCAUGCCAAUUUUUUUCUUGGUUCUAAAAUAUCGUUUUGCUCUACCGCGCAGGCGACCAUGGUCCGCACGAUGACUGAAGGCAUCGUGAAUAGGUUUUUGAGGUCCGCGAAGGCCGAGAUGCUUCAAAAGAACGAGACGGAGAUAAGAUGUCCAUGUCGAAGAUGCAAGCUGAAUAGCCUUAUUACGGACCCGGAUUCCGGGCAGGUGCGGGACCACCUACUCUUGCGUGGUUUCAUGGAUGGCUAUCGGUGGCAAGGUGAUGAAAAUGACUACGAAGUCGUCCAUGGGGGCAGGGCAAUAAAUGAGGAAGGGCAGCAAGACAACCACCGCGGCUCGGGGGGGCGAGAAAACGAAGAAUCCCCAGGAGAUGAUCACGACGGUGAUGCUGUACACAGUCAUCAUGUAGAAGAUGCAGGACAUGAUGAUGAUGCCGGCGGAGCAGACGACGCUGGACCAUCGAUGGGCUGGGUGCAGGACCCUCAUAUUCAAGAGCUGCUUCUCAAGCAGACGGAUAACGCAAGAGCUGCCGCCCGAGAGAAAGCCAAGAUGGAUCAACUUGAGUUAGACGCGGUUACUCCAUUGUAUGAAGGAUGCAGGCCCGAGGAUACCCGCCUGAAAGUAACGCUCAUGGCUCUGGAGAUGAAGGUAAAACACAAAAUGACCGACGCAUGCUUCGACGAGAACAUUUCAUUCUGGCACGAACGUCUUCCCAAGGGGAACAAGUGCCCGACCAGUUUGGAGGAGGCGAAGAAAAUCGUGUGUCCUCUGGAUUUACCGCACGUGAAAUACCAUGUGUGCAUGAACAAUUGCAUCAUUUAUCGGGACGAGCACGCGCAGUCUACCAUAUGUCCAGUGUGCAGUGUCACUCGAUACAAGAAGAGGAAGAAAGCUCCUCGAAAAGUGGUGUGGUACUUUCCGAUCACUCCUCGUCUGCAGCGGUAUUUCGCGGACCCUAAGGUAGCCAAGCUCCUGCGUUGGCACGCGGAUAGGGAGGAGAAGAAGGGAGAAGAUGACGCAAAUGAUCCGGAGAUAGAUAAAAAAGACAAGAUGCUGAGUCACCCUAAGGAUGCGAGCCAGUGGCAAGCGUUGAACUUCGAAUACCCAGAAUUUGGGAACGAUCCAAGGAACAUCGUGCUGGGCGCGAGCACCGAUGGAGUCAAUCCGUUUGGCAGCCAGAGAAGCACACAUAGCACCUGGCCUGUGUUUGUGUGGAUGUACAACCUUCCCCCUGGUUGUGCAUGAAGAGGAAGUACAUUCACAUGAGUAUGCUAAUUGAAGGGCCGAAACAACCAGAGAACAACAUCAAUCUGUAUCUGGGGCUGCUGAAAGAGGAGCUUGACACGCUGUGGAAAACGCCAGCCAAUACGUGGGACGCCGCAGAGAAAGAAUAUUUCCCUAUGAGAGCCGCACUGCUCACGACGGUGCACGACUAUCUCGGUUACGGAUAUCUUGCGGGGCAGGUAGUCCACGGAUUUUCUGGAUGCGUAAGGUGCAUGGAUGACACAACGUAUCGCCAGCUAGAUAGAGAUCCCGGGUCUUUGAAAACCCUGUUCAUGGGACAUCGAAGGUGGCUUCGCGACGAUGACCCGUGGUGGAAACGCAAGGAUCUGUUCGAUGGUGAAACCGAACCCCGAAAACGCCCGUGUAUGAGGAGCGGCGAGGAAAUAGACAAGCUGUUGAAAAAUUGGAAAGACUGCCCACUGCCGGGAAAGAAGCAAAAGGCGCCAGAGCCGGGAAAGAAGCGAAAGGCGCCAGAGCCGCUGCUGAAGGUAUGGAAAACGAGGUCUGUUUUCUGGGACUUGCCAUACUGGAAGGUCCACCGUGUGCCUCACAGCCUUGAUGUCAUGCAUAUCACGAAGAACGUGUGCGAGAGUCUGCUUGGUACCCUGCUCAACAUGCCAGAGAGGACCAAAGAUGGGCCGAAAGCAAGGGCAGACUUGAAAUCAAUGGGCAUCAGGCAGGAGCUUCACGCUAUAUAUGAUGAUGAUGAUGAUGAUGAUGAUGAUGAUGAUGAUGAUGAUGAUGAUGAUGAUGAGGCGAAGAAGGACACAAAAAGUCGUCGCAAAGGCAAAAAGGCCAAGAAGACCGGAAAUGACUACCCUCCCGCGUGCUUCACUCUAAGUCAGGAGGAGAUCAAGCAGUUUUUCACCUGCCUCCUAGGAGUAAAACUUCCUUACGGUUACGCGGGGAAGAUAAGAAGAUACCUAGACCCAGCGAAGCCGAAGUUCAGCGGGAUGAAGUCUCACGACUGUCACGUGCUGAUGACGCAGAUACUUCCAGUUGCAAUCCGUGGGAUCAUGGACGCGCACGUCCGUGAAACGCUAUUUGGCCUAUGCAACUUCUUCGACGUCAUCUCUCGGAAGUCGAUUGGCGUGAGGCAACUCAGAAGGCUAUAGGAAGAGAUCGUGGUGAUACUAUGCGAGCUUGAGAUGUACUUCCCGCCCGCAUUCUUCGACGUUAUGGUGCAUCUGCUGGUCCAUAGAGUGGAGGAUAUCAUCCAACUCGGGCCGACGUUCCUGCACAGCAUGAUGCCGUUCGAAAGGAUGAAUGGUGUCAUCAAAGGAUACGUUCGCAACAUGUCACGUCCAAAAGGAAGCAUAGCCAGGGGCUUUCUGACCGAAGAGUGCAUCUCCUACUGCACGAAUUAUCUAGGCAUCGAGAACCCCGUUGGUCUGCCCGUCAACAGGCACCUCGGCAGGCUCGCUGGAUGGGGUCACCGUGAGGGUCGCCGCGAAAUGCAUGUCGACUUCGAGGGUCGACUCGCCGACUUUGAAAGAGCAAACCUAGUCGCGCUACAACACAUAGACGUGGUCGAUCCUUGGGUGGUAGAGCACAAAACCUUUAUUAAGAAGACGUACAAUGACCGAGGCCAACAGAGGACAGACAGAGAUAUACUCAAAGAGCACAACUCAUGUUUCACGCGUUGGUUCAAGCAGAAGCUUCUGUCGUACCUAAAGGACGUCCGUUCCACAGAAGAACUCCAUUUGCGAAAAAGAAGGGCAAGAAGAUUGUGAACAGAUAGCUAGCUAAGAUCGAUUGUAUUUAAAUCGUAGCCUUCAUUUCUCGAUUGUAUUUCAUGGGUACUUUUUGAACUAUCAUGAAUAUUUUUAAAUUUCAUGGACACUCGAUCUCGAUCCCCCUCCAUCUCGAUCGCUAUCCCACCUCGCCAGAUCCGGUCCCCCUCGCCGCCGAGCACCCCCCAGUCCACCGGCCGCCGCCGCCGACCCCCCGCAUCUUCGAUUCCCCUACUCAACCCAGGACCUCCUGGUGUGAGAACUGGCUGCUGACCAGUCGAGCUAGUAGAGGGGACUUGAUCUGGAUCAGUUCUGGUGGUAGAUAACCUGUUGGCCCGAGCAGAAAUAAAAAAAAAUACUAAUGGCGCACCACGGUGGGGUGCGCCAUUAGUAUGGAUGUACUUAUGGCGCACCGAGUGGUGGUGCGCCAUUAGUAUUGUGCCCGGCCCCACCCAUAUUCCCUCCCCGGCCCCUCUCUCUCCCUCGCCCUCGCCCUCGAUCCCCUUCCCCUCUCCUCUCCCGACGCUGCCGCCGCCCUCGCCCUCUGCCCCGCCGCCCCGACGCCGCCUCGACGCUGCCCCGCCGCCCCGACGCCGCCUCGACCCCGCCCCGNNNNNNNNNNNNNNNNNNNNNNNNNNNNNNNNNNNNNNNNNNNNNNNNNNNNNNNNNNNNNNNNNNNNNNNNNNNNNNNNNNNNNNNNNNNNNNNNNNNNNNNNNNNNNNNNNNNNNNNNNNNNNNNNNNNNNNNNNNNNNNNNNNNNNNNNNNNNNNNNNNNNNNNNNNNNNNNNNNNNNNNNNNNNNNNNNNNNNNNNNNNNNNNNNNNNNNNNNNNNNNNNNNNNNNNNNNNNNNNNNNNNNNNNNNNNNNNNNNNNNNNNNNNNNNNNNNNNNNNNNNNNNNNNNNNNNNNNNNNNNNNNNNNNNNNNNNNNNNNNNNNNNNNNNNNNNNNNNNNNNNNNNNNNNNNNNNNNNNNNNNNNNNNNNNNNNNNNNNNNNNUGUACUUUUAGUGUAAUUACUGUGCAUUUUCAGUGAAAUUUACACUGUAAUUGUUAGUGGAAUUUACACUGUAAAUGUUAGUGGGUUUACAGUGUACUUCUAGUGGAUUUUUGCUCUGUAUUUGCAAGUGGCAUUUUUAGUGGAAUUACUGUGUAUUUCCAUGGUUUUUACACUGUAAUUAUUAGUGUAAGAUAUUGUUGCCAUUAAAUUUAGAAAUGGCAGCUCUUGGUGGCUUGGUGUACCUGUAUUUUCUCUCUGAAAAUUCUCUAAACAAGCAUUGCAAUUUGAUUUUGGCCCUGGUACAUGUAGUAGUAGUAAUGUUUGAGGGUUGCAUGCUUCGGUGCUAAAUUUGCAUCAGCGGUUGACGUUUCUUGAGUGAUUAUAACUUGUGGAAUAUGCUGUCUCAAACUAUGGAACAUGAGAUCUGCGUUUAGGAGCAGCCAAGGUGGUUUCUUUUUGUUGUACACUCCAGUUUGAUUCUUGUGUGCAUCACACUGGUUCAUAGUCUGGAACAUUCAGUCUUGCUUGCUCUAUGUUUGUUCGAUGUCCAGGGGCCCAAUUACAGUUAAGUUGUGGAUACAACACCUAUUUCACCAACAACAGAGAACACAACAACACAAUUAGGGCUCACAGUAAAGCAAUUGCAGUUUUCCCACAGCCAACAUGCCACAGGAGCACAAAGGUCUAAACUUGUAUCCUAAAGCACAUCUGGAACUGAAUUACUGAAUUAAUCUUGCACUGUCUUACUAACAGCCAACAAUAUUUCUAUCUAGUGAAGACUAAAGUUGCAUCAUCAGCAGCUUCAUAUAGAAGAUAAUGAUUCCUAUUUUUUAGUCUACUGUAAUUGUUUUUUAGUCCACAGCACUUUGCAUUGUUUUGAGGUUUUGUACAUCAGCUUUCUUGCUAAUCCAGCCCACGCGGCUGCUGUACUACUUGUCAAGUGAUGCUGCUGCUGCUAUCUGCGAGUUGUUGCUGCUAGUUGUGAUUUUGUCAAGUGAUGUUGCUGCUACUUGUGAUCUUCUAAAAUAACCCCUUUCUCCUGAAACGUUGAUUAAUUUCCGUUUCGGUUGAGAAAUGGGGCACUCCUAGGUCAAGAAAAUUAGCAAAGGUCAUGCCCAAUUUUCUUGACCUAGAAGGUGCCCGAUUCUCAACCGAAAUAAAAAUUAAUUUGCUUUAGUGGUUGGAUUAGUUUAGUAUUUUAUUCACACACUCAGACACCCUUGCUUGCCAUGUGUGAUAGAGAGAUAGUGAGAGGAGACAAUAAGCUAUCUGCAGCUUAAUUUGCAUUGCAUACUAGCUAGAUAGCUUUUGUUUUUCAGGACCAACCGAACAAUACAUAAAUAUACCUGUAGGCACCAGCUUAAUUUCCAAGGCAGGACAAUUACUUGCUUCAUUAUAUUCAUCUUUCCUUGGUCCAUUGAGCCUUCAUUCAUGGUUAUGAAUGAUAUGCAAUGAUCAGCCUGCUAGCGUUUAUCCUCUCCGCGUGUUUGAACACCCUGCGGUGUAGUGAAAAGUAAUUACAGAUACACUCACCCACAUAAGUAUUCAACACAAUGAAAAAAUAGUACAAAUUAAGGAAAGGCAAUACCAUUUCAGACGCUUGUCUUCUAAAAAGAAGAGUGAACUUUCUAGACACACCCCUCAAGAACUAGGUUACCCUGAGAACGUGGACUUGGACCUUAGCAACAACACACUAACAGGUUCUAUCCCAAAACACCUAGGCAAUAUCACAAACAUCUCUCAAUUGUUCCUUGACAAUAACCAACUUUUUGGCGAAAUUCCUUGAGAAUUAGGUUAUUGGGUCAACUUAGAGAUCUUGUUCCUUGACAAUAACCAACUUUUUGACCAAACUUUGUUUCUAUUUAGAGAGAAAAAUGGCCCACAACGAUGAGGCCGGGGGUUCGGGCAGCAAGGCAUUCUGAGAGCUGUCCCAGGAGAUGGAGGAACAACCUCACUUGUAUGAGGCCGCCGCCUUCCCCACCAAUCCUGAGACCACUGAUGGUGCCGCCAAGGAUGACCACACUGAUGCCACCACUGAUGGUGCCGCCGAGGAUGCCACCACUGAUGAUGGCGGCGCCCGCACAGAUGGCAGCCAACCGAAGAGGCAACGGAAGGACCGGCGCCCGAUCGUGCUCCUCACCCUCAAGGAGGAAGUUACUGAAGUGGACUCCAACGGGAAUCCAACGGCGCCGGAACGAAUAGUCAAGGGGUACUCGCUUCAGCUCGGGUGCAUUGUCUGGAGCACCGUCUCGAUCAACACCGAGAACCUGAGGCAUCCUGACUGAGGGAAUUUGCGCCACCUCCUCUUCACGAAGCUGCACGAACGAUACAAGUUACCCGCUGAAUUUGCAAACACAAGCCUCAAAGGGAAUAAAGUGAACAAUGCUGCCCUCACGAAGAUGAGCAAGGCCCUGUCUACUUGGAAAAGCAAUGUGAAGAAAAUGAUCGAGAAAGGUGAGAGUUAUCAGAAGAUCAAGGAGAAGAAUCCUUCGAUCACCGAAGAUGACUACAACGACUUCAAGAUCAAUUGCUCAAGCACCGCAAGCUCCCAAUCAAGUGAGUGGGGGAAACAAAUGUGGGAGCUGAACAUAGGGGAACACACACUCGGUCCCGACGAUUACAGAGUGGCGGAGCCUAUAUGGACAAGGAGGAGGCGGACCGUGCCGAGCAAAGCCUACCGCCCCUCUUCGAGAAAUACAGCGGUAACAAGCAGACCAGGAACUUUUUCAGGGCCCGGUACAAGAAGGACCCGAAAACAAAGGAGCUUACCACGGAUCCGAAGACCAGGCAGCUUGAGCUUGUUCUGGUAAGGAAUACACCCCCGCAUAAUUAGCUCCAUAUGGUUGCAUUCUAAUUAAUGAAGCCAAAUUUCUAAAUGGUUCACAUUCCUUCCGCAGGCGACUGAAAGCAGUAGCGCGGGGUCGACUAAGAGCAACCCUUGGGACACCACUCUAAAUAGGGCGUUGAAUGUAAUGAAGAACAAGGAUAAGCUCAGUAAUCUGACGUCAGCUGGUCGUGUGGCCGGCAAAGGCUUGUCGACAAAAUGGGGGUCAUACUAUACCGCUCGUGUGCGGAAGGAGAAAAAGACCAGCUCGGAAAGCCAGGCGUGAGAGGUUCAAGAACUCAAGGCACAGGUGGCGCGGAUUCCGGAGAUUGUCCAAGAGCAAGUGGAACAAGGACUCGGAGCGACGAUCACCGCCAUUGUGCGUACCUUGAUCUCGGGGUUGAGUGCGUGGAUUGCGGGCGGCCAACAGGGGCCGCCCCCGAUUCCUAGCUUCACGGCCAGCAACUCGCAUAAUGCGAUGGCGGGGCCAUUGGUGCCUCCGGCGGAGGCGGCAUUGGUGUCUCCGACGCCGGCACGGGAGCUUAAUGCACCCGGGUGUACGCCGGGCGGCACCUCUUCAGCAAGCGGCCCCUCCGUCAACUGCACGCCCGCCGUUGGCGGUGCGUCGACAUUAGCCGAGCUCGAUGCCAUCAUCACGGUAACUAAUUAAGCCUCUCUCGGCCGAGGACUUCAUCUCCUUGCCUUUGACUGGGCAUCCCUGACGCCCUACAUGUUUUUGCAGGGCGCCGCCGACGUUCCGUGCACUCUCCUCCACUUCGUGAACAAUGAGUUGGUCGAUGUCGCCAAGGGCAAAAUCGUUCAACCGGGCAACCCCUUGUUCCACGGUACCCAGAUGCCACCCAACUUGUUUAGGGUUCAACUGGUUCGGGUGCUGCCAGGCUGCGACGACUUGUUACCUCCGAUUCGACCCGUCGGGGCCGACGAUGAAGACGUGAUGACCCUCAGCGCCUGCCUGAGCUGGCCCCUGCUUUGGCCGAAGAGCCAGAUUCGUUUGGGGGCGGGGGACACCACCCCAAAGACAACACCGCCAGUCGUGCCGGCGCCAAGUCGGCCCCAUGGCAAGACCGCCGUAACGGUGCCGGACAUCCCUAUGCCACUGGAUCCAAACAUGCAUAUGGCACAGGAUCAGAAUGACGACGACGACGACGAUGAUACAUUUGGCAACGUCGAUCAGUACUUUGCCGAUCAUGGGUACGAUGGCGACUUCAUGGGGCCUCCUUCUCAAGAACCAAACCCAACAAAAGACGUGUGCGAUCUAGCUGGUACCGCGGAGAAGCCAAGUUGCAACAGGCGCCGUCUGGCGUUCAGCUCUCAGGAGACGCCUCCAGCUGCCGACUUCACCGAGCCUCAGAUAGGCGAGGUGCGAAAUAUUAUCAGCCCCAACACACUCAAGAAGGCGGUCUGUGAGCAGAAGUCGGUCCCAUUACAGGAGAAUAAGAAGGCAUGCAAAAGAAAGACUAAGAAGGGUGCGAGCCAGCCGGCACCGAGUACGAUCCGUGCUCAGGACGGGCCACCUUCACCGCAGGAUAUCUCGAGGAGGGUGCAUGUGGCGGGUAGGGCGAUGCUACCGACAAAUAUGCUCAAUGCUGCAACCGGUGCUAUGCGGAGUCUGCAUGACAGUGUUCUUGCUUUAGAGAAGCGGCGUCUCAGAGAGAAGGAUGUGGCAUACCCGGUUUUCGCGGCCAAGGUGCCAGAGGGCAAGGGCUUUGUGGAUAACUCCAUCGGGCGUACGAUCGUCCUGCGUUUUGAUGACAUCCACACUAUGUUGAACCUUCAUCCGCUGCACUACACCUUCGUUCGGCUAUUUUCGCUGAGUAUGGAGAUGCGGAUCAUUCGCGAUAAGACCCCGGACAUCGUGAUAGUCGACCCCUUCUACAUGCGUGCCAAGAUCUUGGGCAGCGCUGGGGACCGUCAAGUCGCGAGUUCUUACCUCGAAGGCGUCAUUCUGGCAAACCAAGAUAAGGAUAACUUCCUCGUGCCUUACUUUCCCGAGUAAGUCCUCCCCUCAACCGGCCCGUAACAUAUGAAUUCUUACAUUUCGAUCGUUUUUCUUUUAACAUUCCGUGUUUUCUGCAGUGACACACGUUGCACGCUCAUCCUCCUAAGCCCCAAAUAUUCCAUGGCCACGUAUUUCGACCCGGACCGUCAGUCGAACGUAGACUACACAAAUGUCAAGAAGGUUCUUGAUGAUGUUCUCCCCGGCUACGCCAAAUCUGGAGGCACCUUCACCAGGCCUAUUCGUAAGUACGGCAAGCACGUGUUCUCCCACAAUACGACGUUCUGCUGCGUCAAGCAGCCGCCUGGCGGUCAGAAGGGUGCCUACUACGCCAUCCAUCACAUGCGGGCGAUCGUACGGGACCAUCAUCAACUUCUGCUACCGAGUAAACUCAAAGAUUGGGCAAAGAGCUUGUCGGCAAUCCAGGACGCGGACCUCCGACAAGAAUUCUUUCGCAUCCAGUCGGAGUUUGCGGAAAUCAUCCAUCAAGAUGUCCUUCGUACCUCGGGGCAGUUCUACCUCAACAAUCAACCGUCCAACAGUGACAUCGACACAAUGCUACAAAUGCAGGCUGACAACGACCGUUAUUUCAUGACUCCCACGAUAGACGGCGGCUUCAUCCACGCUCCGGUCCCUUGAGUCGAGUCGAAAGCAGUGAUGAUGUGUCUAGUUCUGAAACAUCGAUUGGCUCAUGUUGUAAUUAAACUUUAAUGAACUUGUAGUAUGUCUCUUUGGUUUCGAGAGUCGUUCAACUUAGAUGUAAUCGAUGCUAUUAAUGUCUUGCUUUUCUCUUCCGAUCGUUCUGUUGCAUACUUAUAUAUUGCUUAUGUAUUGUCUGUGAAUUGGUACUAACGUUUCGUUUGGCUAGUGCAUAGUGAUGCCGACGUAUGUCGUGUACAAGGGUAAGGUUCCCGGAGUCUACGAUGACUGGGAGGAGUGUCGGAGACAGGUUCACUGAUUCAGCGGUAACAGUUACAAAGGGUACACCACUAGGGCCGAGGCCGAAUCUAGAUACGCCCGCUAUCUAGCGGGAGAGGGGAGGGAGCGUUGGAGGAACCGGAUGAAGACGAGUUUCAUCAUGAUGAUGCUCAUCGUGAUGACCGCAGCUCUCUUCUAUGUGAUGGUAGUUUAGAUGAUCGAUAUCGACUUGUAAUGUGAAGACAAACUCGCUACUCGCGGUCUCGAGACUUGUAAUAUAAUGUUCUAUCUUUGUUCGGUCUUUUCAAUUCGGAGACUAAUAUGAUGAAUUGUAUUCGGAGACUAAUAUGAUGAAUUGUAUUUGAAGACUAAUCUUCUAUUGUAUUCGAUGAAUCUGUUGUUGAUGUGUGCUGUCUAUAUUUUGUCAAAUUAUACAUUUUGUAACCUGUGCAAAAAACAGAAAAUAAAAAAUAAAAAAAAACUAAUAUUCAUACUAAUGGCGCACCACAUGACAGUGCGCCAUUAGUAUGACAGUGCAUACUAAUGGCGCAUCACUGGGCAGUGCGUCAUUAGUAUGCCGCGGUUACUAAUGUUGCAUCCAGUGGUGGUGCGCCAUUAGUAUGCCAAAGCACCUGGGUAUACAUGGCCCCUGGGAGGCAUACUAAUGGCGUACCCUGGCCUAUACUAAUGGCGCACCCGCGGUGCGCCAUUAGUAUACCAGAUACUAAUGGCGCACCAGGUGGUGCGCCAUUAGUAAAAAUUACUAAUGGCGUGCUAUUAAUGGCGCACCACAGAUGCGCCAUUAAUGGCCAUAUUAGGUGCGCCAUUAGUAGGGGUUUUUCUAGUAGUGUUAUGAGCGCCGCCACUUCUCGAUCACCAUGAUGGAUGCUGUAGAUAGUAACUUGGUGGAGAUCCCUCUGCAGAUCCAACCAGGACUACCUCGCUGGAAGCUACUCCCUCCGUCCCAUAAUAUAAGAACGUUUUUUACACUAGAAUAUAAGAACGUUUUUUAAUCCAGUGAGAACAUGCCCCCAGGACAAACCCCGCCGUGUUCUCCCACACGUUCCACUGCCGCCACCGAGACGGCACGAAGAAGACAGAGAGGACACUGGAUCGACUCGAUCUGAGGCAGCCCCGCACUUAUUCAAAGAGCUAGCUCCAGAUCCGUCGACUUCCCUUCGCGUCCACCAUGGAGGAAGAGCAGAGGACGGCGCCGGCGACCACCGAGCCCUAUAUGCAUGCGACGGUGGAAUUCACUCCAAUGGCAUAACGCCAGUCGCCCAAAGGGGAAGUCCAGGCAAACGCCUCAGUCCUAAGCUACUAUAUACAGGAAGAGAACAACCUCCUCUCCCGCUCCAUCUCCGGCCGGCAAAGCCGCCGGAGAAAGUGGGAAAUGAAGGGAAUACUCUUUUUUCGAGUGGACCCGCUUGCCUUACUUUUUCAUCAUCCACUUGUUUCGUCCCAUCCUUGGUUUGUGCUUUCAAAUAAUGGAAAUCCCUUUUGGAGAUCAGCCUCUAAUGAGGCCUCCAAAUUCAAAAUCCAAAUUUCAUCAAUUUAUAUUUUUACGUUUCAAAAAUUCUGAAAAAAACACAGAUAUACAUGAAGGCGUAACUCACAUGUGUGUAAAUUUUCAGGGCAAAAUACGUUGAAAUGAGGGUUGUGCAAAAAACAAAACAAAAACAAAACAAAUAUGGGCUGUUUAACACAUGAUACUAUUCAUCCUCCCAGGUCAUGAAUUUGUCUUUUUGUACAGGUCGCAACUCAAGGUAUUUCAUCAUGAAUUUUUACACACAUGUGGGUUACAUCCUUACAUACACGCAUAUUUUUUUUCAAUUUUUUUUGAACCAUAAAAGUUUGAAUUUGACUUUUUCAAAAAUAAAGGCCCCCAUGGAGCUCAGCCUCCAAAACGCCUCUCUCUUCAAAUAACUCUUACUGUACAAGAAAACCCAGUCACAUCCUCCAAGAUGUCAUCAUGGUCAAAGUCUUCACCAUGUAGACCUUCAUUGUCGCAAAAGAAUCAACUGAGCAUGCUCUACGAGUUGAGACAUUAAUACCAUGUCCUUUCAUAUAGCUUUCAGAAAAACCCGGUCCUUCGCAAAAAAAUCAACUGAGCGUGCUCUACGAGUUGAGACAUUAAUACCAUGUCCUUUCAUAUAGCUUUCAGAAAAACCCGGUCCUUCGCAAAAGAAUCAACUGAGCGUGCUCUGCGAGUUGAGACAUUAAUACCAUGUCCUUUCAUAUAGCUUUCAGAAAAACCCGGUCCUCCAGCAGCAGCUUGGACAUGUUGCAGCUGCAUUUGAUAGCCGACAAGGAGAACGUUCACUUGUUAAGGCAUCUCCAUGACAACGCUUUCAAGUCAUUUACUAUGCAGGAAAACCACCGUGUCAUGGUCAAAGUCUUUGGAUACAUAUAGACCUUCGUUAUCGCAAUGGACUAAUCAAGUGUGCCACUUGAGCUGGGCGGAUGGUUACUGCUGUGACUAAGAACAAGUACAAUAUGAUGACAUAGGCGGGCUGUAAGCCUUUAUUUUGAAUGAGUUGGAGGAGAGAGAAGAGAAGCGAGAUGUGAAGCGGGCUACGGAUUAACAGCCGGCUGCAGCACGUGCUCCUAGGCAUGUUGUGUGAGAGAGAAGUGGGCCAUGUAUCAAAAAAAUAGCACCUGUUUAUAUAUAACUAUUGUACUUGCCGGCUAUAAGUUUGGCUAUAAAUGAUGUGGCAAGAUCAUAUAGCCAACAGCCGGCUAUAAUAUUAACCAUGCUCUAAGACUAGCCACAGUGGGAGUAACUUCAGCAGCAACAUCAAGUCCAACUCAGCAAAUUUGCUUAUGUGGCAAUGAGUUAAUCAGGAGAGAGGUAGUUUGUGUAACUUAGCUAGUUACUGUAACAUCACAUGUCCCAAUGCAAUAUGAGUCUAUAACCUAAUAAAUAAAGUUUUGUAUGACAUCACACUUAUGUUACUACCCACUAUGUGUUGGAAAUAUAAGCAAUUUACCGAAUGAUUUUAUUAACAGAAAUAGUAGAUAAAACAUGACUAAAAUAGCAAAUAUAAAGCAAGUCAUGCAAUCUGACAGAGAGAAGGUAAACAUCGUCUGCAUAUAUGAACUUGAGGUAAACACAUCUAGAACAGUCACUAGAUGAAGUUGCUUAUACGACAUAGAACCUAACAUACGUAGGACAGAAACUAGAGCCAAGAACUGUAGCAGGACUUCUAACAGAAAGGAGAAGAACACGUACGGCACAGCAGCAGCAGAAGCACUGGACUUGGGGUCGGUGUCCUCGCCUGCCAUGUCGUCGAGGAGGUCAUGGACGUCGGGGAAGAAGUCGUCAUCGGGGAAGUAGUCGUCGGCGACCAGAUCGUCCGUGAUGAAUCAGCCAGUAGUUGCGCAGAGCGCUCCCCAAAAACCUUAUCACCCUUCUCCCGUACAGGACUCAAAGAGUGCGGUUUUGGAGGCCUACUGUCCCGACCUGCGGUGCACGCCGCAAGCCGGGAUGGAGAAGAUCGUAGCAGCAGCGCAGUGCUCAGGAACCGGUGGCGAGAGGAAGAAGUAGUUCUGGUGUGUCUUGCUGAGAGGAGCGACCUCCCUUUUAUAGGCGCAAGAGAAGGAGGCGAGAGGGCAGCGCCGGGAGCUGAAACGAACAGACAGCAGCCGAAGGAUGCAGCGUUCGCAUUUAAUCUCCACUACAGCAAAAAUUUAGACAUUGGCUCGGCUCAUUCCCGCAACCAGCGGCGCGGCGCGACGAGGCGUGGCGAGGCGGGCGGCGGAGGAGGAGCGCGCGUGGAUGUCCCUCUUGUUCUCAUGCUCAUACAAGUGGGGAAAGAACCCCCCUUAUAAGGAGGUCCAACUCCCACUAAACUAGCAAUGUGGGACUAAACUUUUAGUAGUAUCCCUUGCCUUGCACAAAUGGGCUAAGUGGGCCUCUAGGAUUUAUUAGGAAUUUCUGAAAUAGUUAUUGGGCUGCCCAAAAUAGACUAAAUUCCAGCAAUCCCCCACCAGAUCCCAGAGGCACACAGAAAUUUGCCUUUGGUUCCAAAAUACUAUUUUAUAUACCCGUACUGCAGUGGAGACUGUUAAGUUGAACUUCCACCUAGAACUCUAUGCUACACUAGUAAGCAACUUGAACAGUGGACUGGGCCUUGAACUGCAAGUUUUCUGCGAAUCUAGCUUCACAUAAAGCCUUGACCGAUACGUGGCUACCGUGGGUCUUCCCCGCGGGUGGAGCUUAUGCGUCAUACUCCAUGACCUUUCAUGAGUUUACUAGAGAGAACCCUACUCUCAUAGAUUGCGACGUUUGACAAUCAGACUCAUAUAGGUGUGUUCUUCAAAAGAUGUUUUGCAGGAUAACAUCUCUGCUUAAAUAAGCCACUUAGAACACAUUAAGAUAUACAUCAACCUGCCAUGCAGAUUAGGAGAGUAUUGCAUCUUCAUGGAGUGGUAUUGUGAAUAGUAGGGAUACUCUCCUCUCAGUUGACCAACAGCUUGUCUUUCACAUCUAAUCCACGGGAUCUCCGAUCACAAAGAAUAGGUUACCACUGUGAACAACUCAUAUUGUGGGUCUCAUACCCAUCUCCCUUGAUGCAUUAUCUAUCACAUUACGUGAUAGGCCCUUAGUAAAAGGAUCUGCCAGAUUUUUAGACGUUUGGACAUAAUCCAAUGCAAUAACUCCGGAGUUUUUCAUUUUCCUGACAGACUUUAACCUUCUCUGAACGUGUCUUGAUGACUUCAUGUUAUCCUUUGAGCUGCUCACUUUCGUGAUCACAGUUUGAUUGUCGCAGUUCAUAAGGACACCCGGUACAGGUUUCUCAACAACCAGCAAGUCAUUCAAGAGUCGGCGAAGCCAAUCUGCUUCGACCGUAGCUGUAUCUAGUGCUGUGAAUUAUGCUUCCAUAGUUGACCUCGUUAAGAUGGUCUGCUUGCAAGACUUCCAAGAAACAGCGCCACCUCCAUGAGUGAAUACAUAAUCGCUUGUGGCCUUUAUCUCAUCAGCAACUGAGAUCCAGUUUGAGUCACUAUACCCUUCAAGCACCUUUGGAUGCCCAGUGUAGUGAAUUCCAUAAUUCGCAGUGCCUUUCAAAUAAUGCAAAACUCUCUCUAGAGCUUUCCAAUGCACAUCUCCUGGUUUUGAAACAAACCGACUCAUUUUGCUAACAGCAAAAGAGAUGUCAGGUCUUGUAGCACUUGCUAAGUACAUAAGCGAGCCAAUAAUCUGAGAAUACUUCAAUUGAUCUCUAGCAAUUCUUCGAUUCUUUCGAAGCAGCACGUUAGCAUCAUAUGGUGUUGGAGAGGUCUUGCAGUUACUAUAGCCAAAGCGACUCAAGAUCUUUUCCACAUAGUGAGAUUGAAGCAAUGUAAUCCCACCAUCAUCAUCUCUCAACAACUUGAUGUUUAGAAUGACAUCAGCCACUCCUAAAUCCUUCAUCUCAAAACAGUGAGAUAGGAAAUCCUUGACCUCCUUAAUAACAUUCAGAUUUGUUCCGAAAAUUAGUAUGUCAUCAACAUACAAGCAAAGCAUAAUUCCCUCGCCCCCACCAUGGUGAUAGUACACACAUUUGUCAGCUUCGUUCACAACAAAGCCUGCAGCUAUUAAAGUUCUUUCAAACUUCUCAUGCCACUGUUUGGGUGCUUGCUUGAGUCCAUACAAGGACUUCAGCAACUUGCACACUUUCCCUUCCUGACCAUCUACUACAAACCCAUCUGGUUGUUGUUGGAAAUAUGCCCUAGAGGCAAUAAUAAAAGUAUUAUUAUAUUUCCUUGUUCAUGAUAAUUGUAUUUUAUUCAUGCUAUAACUGUAUUAUCCGGAAAUCGUAAUACACGUGUGAAUACAUAGACCACAAUAUGUCCCUAGUGAGCCUCUAGUUGACUAGCUCGUUGUGAUCAACAGAUAGUCAUGGUUUCCUGGCUAUGGACAUUGGAUGUCGUUGAUAACGGGAUCACAUCAUUAGGAGAAUGAUGUGAUGGACAAGACCCAAUCCUAAGCCUAGCACAAAAGGUCGUGUAGUUCGUUUGCUAGAGCUUUGCCAAUGUCAAGUAUCUCUUCCUUUGACCAUGAGAGCGUGUAACUCCUGGAUACCGUAGGAGUGCUUUGGGUGUAUCAAACGUCACAACGUAACUGGGUGACUAUAAAGGUGCACUACAGGUAUCUCCGAAAGUAUCUAUUGUUUUAUGCGGAUCGAGACUGGGAUUUGUCACUCCGUGUAAACGGAGAGGUAUCUCUGGGCCCACUCGGUAGGACAUCAUCAUAUGCGCAAUGUGACCAAGGAGUUGAUCACGGGAUGAUGUGUUACGGAACGAGUAAAGUGACUUGCCAGUAACGAGAUUGAACAAGGUAUUGGAUACCGACGAUCGAAUCUCGGGCAAGUAACAUACCGAUAGACAAAGGGAAUUGAAUACGGGAUUGAUCAAGUCCUUGACAUCGUGGUUCAUCCGAUGAGAUCAUCGUGGAACAUGUGGGAGCCAUCAUGGGUAUCCAGAUCCCGCUGUUGGUUAUUGACCGGAGAACGUCUCGGUCAUGUCUGCAUGUCUCCCGAACCCGUAGGGUCUACACACUUAAGGUUCGAUGACGCUAGGGUUAUAAAGGAAGCUUGUAUGUGGUUACCGAAUGUUGUUCGGAGUCCCGGAUGAGAUCCCGGACGUCACGAGGAGUUCCGGAAUGGUCCGGAGGUAAAGAUUUAUAUAUGGGAAGUCCUGUUUUGGUCACCGGAAAAGUUUCGGGCGAUAUCGGUAUUGUACCGGGACCACCGGGAGGGUCCCGGGGGUCCACCAAGUGGGGCCACCGGCCCCGGAGGCUUGCUUGGGCCUGGAGUGGAAAGGGACCAGCCCCAGAGUGGGCUGGUGCGCCUCCCACCCUUGCCCAAGGCGCAGCUAGGAGGGGAGAGGGGAAACCCUAGGGCAGAUGGGCCCUAAGGCCCAUGCUCCCUACGCCUCCCUCUCCUCCCACUCCUGGCCGCCGCCCCCUUUGCCAUCUAGGGCUAGCCGCACCCCUUGGGGGUGGGAAACCCUAGAGGGGGGCGCAGCCCCCUCUCCCCCUAUAAAUAGUGAGGCAUAGGGCUGCCCAUAACACGCGAUUCGAUCUCUCGUUGGUGCAGCCCUGCCCCUCUCCCUCCUCCUCCUCUCCCAUGGUGCUUGGCGAAGCCCUGCGGGAUUGCCACGCUCCUCUACCACCACCACGCCGUUGUGCUGCUGUUGGAUGGAGUCUUCCUCAACCUCUCCCUCUCUCCUUACUGGAUCAAGGCAUGGGAGACGUCACCGGGCUGUACGUGUGUUGAACGCGGAGGUGCCGUGCGUUCGGCACUUGAUCAUCGGUGAUUUGAAUCACGACGAGUACGACUCCUUCAACCCCGUUCACUUGAACGCUUCUGCUUAGCGAUCUACAAGGGUAUGUAGAUGCACUCUCCUUCCCCUCGUUGCUGGUUUCUCCAUAGAUAGAUCUUGGUGACACGUAGGAAAAUUUUGAAUUUCUGCUACGUUCCCCAACAGUGGCAUCAUGAGCUAGGUCUAUUGCGUAGAUUCUUUGCACGAGUAGAACACAAAGUAGUUGUGGGCGUUGAUGUUGUUCAAUAUGCUUACCGUUACUAGUCCAAUCUUGUUUCGACGGUAUUGUGGGAUGAAGCGGCCGGACCGACCUUACACGUACUCUUACGUGAGACAGGUUCCACCGAUUGACAUGCACUUGGUGCAUAAGGUGGCUAGCGGGUGCCAGUCUCUCCCACUUUAGUCGAAACGGAUUCGAUGAAAAGGGUCCUUAUGAAGGGUAAAUAGCAAUUGGCAUAUCACGUUGUGGUUUUGCGUAGGUAAGAAACGUUCUUGCUAGAAACCCAUAGCAGCCACGUAAAACAUGCAAACAACAAUUAGAGGACGUCUAACUUGUUUUUGCAGGGUAUGCUAUGUGAUGUGAUAUGGCCAAGAAGAAUGUGAUGAAUGAUAUGUGAUGUAUGAGAUUGAUCAUGUUCUUGUAAUAGGAAUCACGACUUGCAUGUCGAUGAGUAUGACAACCGGCAGGAGCCAUAGGAGUUGUCUUUAUUUAUUGUAUGACCUGCGUGUCAUUGAAGAACGCCAUGUAACUUACUUUACUUUAUUGCUAAACGCGUUAGUCAUAGAAGUAGAAGUAGUCGUUGGCGUGACAACUUCAUGAAGACACGAUGAUGGAGAUCAUGAUGAUGGAGACCAUGGUGUCAUGCCGGUGACGAUGAUGAUCAUGGAGCCCAGAAGAUGAAGAUCAAAAGGAGCAAAAUGAUAUUGGCCAUAUCAUGUCACUAUUUGAUUGCAUGUGAUGUUUAUCAUGUUUAUGCAUCUUGUUUACUUAGGACGACGGUAGUAAAUAAGAUGAUCCCUUACAAAAUUUCAAGAAGUGUUCUCCCCUAACUGUGCACCGUUGCUACAGUUCGUCGCUUCUAAGCACCACGUGAUGAUCGGGUGUGAUGGAUUCUUACGUUCACAUACAACGGGUGUAAGACAGUUUUACACAGCGAAAACACUUACGGUUAACUUGACGAGCUUAGCAUGUGCAGACAUGGCCUCGGAACACGGAGACCGAAAGGUCGAGCAUGAGUCGUAUAGUAGAUACGAUCAACAUGAAGAUGUUCACCGAUGAUGACUAGUCCGUCUCACGUGAUGAUCGGACACGGCCUAGUUGACUCGGAUCAUGUGAUCACUUAGAUGACCAGAGGGAUGUCUAUCUAAGUGGGAGUUCAUAAGAUGAACUUAAUUAUCCUGAACAUAGUCAAAAGACCUUUUGCAAAUUAUGUCGUAGUUGACGCUAUAGUUCUACUAUUUUAGUUAUGUUCCUAGAGAAAAUAUAGUUGAAAGUUGACAGUAGCGAUUAUGCGGACAGUAGAAAGCUUAUGUCCUUAAUGCACCGCUCAAUGUGCUGAACCCCAAACGUCGUCUGUGGAUGUUGCGAACAUCGGACAUACAUGUUUUGAUAACUACGUGAUAGUUCAGAUAAAUGGUUUAAGUAGAGGCACCAAAGGCGUUUUUCGAAACGUCGCGGAACAUAUGAGAUGUUUCGAGGGCUGAAAUUGGGAUUUCAGGCUCGUGCCCACAUCAAGAGGUAUGAGACCUCCGACAAUUUUCUUAGCCUACAAACUAAGGGAGAAAAGCUCAAUCGUUGAGCUUGUGCUCAGAUUGUCUGAGUGCAACAAUCACUUGAAUCGAGUGGGAGUUGAUCUUCCAAAUGAGAUAGUGAUGUUUCUCCAAAGUCAUUGCCACCAAGCUGCUAGAGCUUCGUGAUGAACUAUAACAUAUCAGGGAUAGAUAUGAUGAUCCUUGAGGUAUUCGCGAUGUUUGACACCGCGAAAGUAGAAAUCAAGAAGGAGCAUCAAUUGUUGAUGGUUGGUGAAACCACUAGUUUCAAGAAGGGCAAGUGCAAGAAGGGAUACUUCAUGAAACGGCAAAUCAGCUGCUGCACCAGUGAAGAAACCCGAGGUUGAACCCAAACCCGAGACUAAGUGCUUCUGUGAUAAGGGGAAUAGCCGCUGGAGCAGAAUUACCCUAGAUACUUGGUAGAUAAGAAGGCUGGCAAGGUCGAUAGAAGUAUAUUGGAUAUACAUUAUGUUAAAGUGUACUUUACUAGUACUCCUAGUAGCACCAGGGUAUAAGAUACCGGUUCGGUUGCUAAGUGUUAGUCACUCGAAAUAAAAGCUACGGAAUAAACGGAGACUAGCUAAAGGUGAGAUGACGAUAUGUGUUGGAAGGGUUUCCAAUGUUGAUAUGAUCAAGCAUCACACGCUCCCUCUACCAUCGAGAUUGGUGUUUGCGUUGAGCAUAGACAUGAUUGGAUUAUGUCUAUCGCAAUACGGUUAUUCAUUUAAGGAGAAUAAUGGUUACUCUGUUUAUUUGAAUAAUACCUUCAAUGGUCUUGCACCUGAAACAAAUGGUUUAUUGAAUCUCGAUCGUAGUGAUACACACUUUCAUGCCAAAAGAUAUAACAUAGUAAUGAUAGUACCACUUACUUGUGGCACUGCCAUGUAAGUCAUAAUGGUAUAAAACGCAUGAAGAAGCUCCAUGUUGAUGGAUCUUUGGACUCACUCGAUUUUGAAAAGUUUGAGACAUGCGAACCAUGUCUAUUGCUGUAUAUGCAUGAAGAAACUCCAUGCAAAUGGACCGUUUGGACUCACUUGAUUUUGAAUCACUUGAGAUAUGCAAAUCAUACCACAUGGGCAAGAUGACUGAAAAGCCUCGUUUUCAGUAAGAUGGAACAAGAUGGCAACUUGUUGGAAGUAACACAUUUUGAUGUGUGUAGUCCAAUGAGUGCUGAGGCAUGCAGUGAACAUCGUUAUGUUCUUACUUCACAGAUGAUUCGAGUAGAUGUUGAGAAUAUUUACUUGAUGAAACACAAGUCUGAAUUAUUGAAUGGUUCAAGUAAUUUCAGAGUGAAGUAGAAUAUCAUUGUGACAAGAGGAUAAAAUGUCUAUGAUAUGAUCAUAGAGAUGAAUAUCUGAGUUACAAGUUUUGGCACACAAUUAAGACACUGUGGAAAUUGUUUCGCAAUUAAUACCGCCUGGAACACCAUAGUGUGAUGGUGUGUCCAAACAUCAUAGUUGCACCCUAUUGGAUAUGGUGCGUACCAUGAUGUCUCUUAUCGAAUUACCACUAUCGUUCAUGGGUUAGGCAUUAGAGACAACCACAUUCACUUUAAAUAGGGCACCACGUAAUUCCGUUGAGAUGACACCGUAUGAAUUAUGGUUUAGAGAAACCUAAGUUGUCGUUUCUUAAAGGUUUGGGGCUGCGACACUUAUGUGGAAAAGUUUCAGGAUUGAUAAGCUCGAACCCAAAGCGGAUAAAAUGCAUCUUCAUAGGACACCCAAAACAGUUGGGUAUACCUCCUGUCUCAGAUCCGAAAGCAAUAAGGGAUUGUUUCUAGAAUCAGGUCCUUUCUCGAGGAAAAGUUUCUCUCGAAAGAAUUGAGUGGGAGGAUGGUGGAAACUUGAUGAGGUUAUUGAACCGUCUCUUCAACUAGUGUGUGGCAGGGCACAGGAAGUUGUACCUGUGGCACCUACACCAAUUGAAGUGGAAGCUUAUGAUAUUGAUCAUGAAACUUCGGAUCAAGUCACUACCAAACCUCGUGGGAUGACAAGGAUACGUACUACUUCAGAGUGGUACGUAAUCCUGUCUUGGAAGUCAUGUUGCUGGACAACAAUGAACCUACGAGCUAUGGAGAAGCAAUGGUGGGCCCGGAUUCCGAUAAAUGGCUCGAGGCCAUAAAAUCCGAGAACGGAUCCAUGACUUUGGAAGAAAUACUUGAUGGUCGUAAGGCCAUUGGGUACGGAUGGAUUUUAAAAGGAAGACAGACAAUGAUGGUAAGAAUUACCAUUAAGAAAGCUCGACUUGUCGUUAAGAUAUUUUCCGACAAGUUCAAGGAGUUGAUUACGGUGAGGUUUUCUCACUCGUAGCGAUGCUAAGAGUCUGUUGGAAUUGGAUUAGCAGUUACUGCAUGAUUGAUGAAAUCUUGCAGAUAGGAUGUCAAAACAUUGUUUCCUCGAUGUUAUACUUGAGGAAAGGUUGUAUGUGAUACAACCGGAAGGUUUUGUCAAUCCCAAAAGAUGCUAAUAAGUAUGCAAAGCUCCAGCAAUCCUUCUAAGGACUGGAGUGAGCAUCUCGGAGUUGGAAUGUAUGCUUUGAUGAUGAUCAAAGAUUUUGGGUUUGUACAAAGUUUAUGAGAAACUUGUAUUUCCAAAGAAGUGAGUGGGAGCACUAUAGAAUUUCUGAUGAGUAUAUGUUGUUGACAUAUUGUUGAUCAGAAAUGACGUAGAAUUUCUGGAAAGCAUAUAGGGUUAUUUUGAAAGUGUUUUUCAAUGGAAAGCCUGGAUUAAGCUACUUGAACAUUGAGCAUCAAGAUCUAUAAGGAUAGAUCAAAACGCUUAAUGGUACUUUCAAAUGAGCACAUACCUUGACAUGAUCUUGAAGGUGUUCAAGAUGGAUCAGUCAAAGAAGAAGUUCUUGCCUGAAUUGUAAGGUACGAAGUUAAGACUUAAAGCUUGACCACGGCAGAAUAGAGAGAAAGGACGAAAGUCGUCCCCUAUGCUUAAGACGUAGGCUCUUCAGUAUGCUAUGCUGUGUACCGCACCUGAAGUGUGCCUUGCCAUGAGUCAGUCAAGGGGUACAAGAGUGAUCCAAGAAUGGCUCACAGGACAGCGGUCAAAGUUAUCCUUAGUAACUAGUGGACUAAGGAAUUUUCUCGAUUAUGGAGGUGGUAAAAGAGUUCGUCGUAAAGGGUUACGUCGAUGCAAGAUUAACACCUAUCCGGACAGCUCUGAGUAGAGAUACCGGAUACGUACAAUGGGGCAACAAUUUAGAAUAGCUCCAAGUAGAACAGUUAUUUGGAUUAGCUCCAAAUAGAGCGUGGUAGCUCCAUCUAGGAGAUGACAUAGAGAUUUUUAAAGCACACACGGAUCUGAAAGGUUCAGACCCGUUGACUAAAACCUCUCUCACAAGCAACAUGAUCAAACAUAAAACUCAUUGAGUGUUAAUCACAUAGUGAUGUGAACUAGACUACUGACUCUAGUAAACUCUUGGGUAUUAGUCACAUGGGGAUGUGACCUUGAGUGUUAAUCACAUAUCGAUGUGAACUAGAUUAUUGACUCUAGUGCAAGUGGGAGACUGUUGGAAAUAUGCCCUAGAGGCAAUAUUAAAAGUAUUAUUAUAUUUCCUUGUUCAUGAUAAUUGUCUUUUAUUCAUGCUAUAACUAUAUUAUCCGGAAAUCGUAAUACACGUGUGAAUACAUAGACCACAAUAUGUCCCUAGUGAGCCUCUAGUUGACUAGCUCGUUGUGAUCAACAGAUAGUCAUGGUUUCCUGGCUAUGGACAUUGGAUGUCGUUGAUAACGGGAUCACAUCGUAAGGAGAAUGAUGUGAUGGACAAGACCCAAUCCUAAGCCUAGCACAAAAGGUCGUGUAGUUCGUUUGCUAGAGCUUUGCCAAUGUCAAGUAUCUCUUCCUUUGACCAUGAGAGCGUGUAACUCCUGGAUACCGUAGGAGUGCUUUGGGUGUAUCAAACGUCACAACGUAACUGGGUGACUAUAAAGGUGCACUACAGGUAUCUCCGAAAGUAUCUAUUGUUUUAUGCGGAUCGAGACUGGGAUUUGUCACUCCGUGUAAACGGAGAGGUAUCUCUGGGCCCACUCGGUAGGACAUCAUCAUAUGCGCAAUGUGACCAAGGAGUUGAUCACGGGAUGAUGUGUUACCGAACGAGUAAAGUGACUUGCCGGUAAUGAGAUUGAACAAGGUAUUGGAUACCGACGAUCGAAUCUCGGGCAAGUAACAUACCGAUAGACAAAGGGAAUUGAAUACGGGAUUGAUUAAGUCCUUGACAUCGUGGUUCAUCCGAUGAGAUCAUCGUGGAACAUGUGGGAGCCAUCAUGGGUAUCCAGAUCCCGCUGUUGGUUAUUGACCGGAGAACGUCUCAGUCAUGUCUGCAUGUCUCCCGAACCCGUAGGGUCUACACACUUAAGGUUCGAUGACACUAGGGUUAUAAAGGAAGCUUGUAUGUGGUUACCGAAUGUUGUUCGGAGUCCCGGAUGAGAUCCCGGACGUCAUGAGGAGUUCCGGAAUGGUCCGGAGGUACAGAUUUAUAUAUGGGAAGUCCUGUUUUGGUCACCAGAAAAGUUUCGGGCGAUAUCGGUAUUGUACCGGGACCACCGGGAGGGUCCCGGGGGUCCACCAAGUGGGGCCACCGGCCCCGGAGGCUUGCUUGGGCCUAGAGUGGAAAGGGACCAGCCCCAGAGUGGGCUGGUGCGCCUCCCACCCUUGCCCAAGGCGCAGCUAGGAGGGGAGAGGGGAAACCCUAGGGCAGAUGGGCCCUAAGGCCCAUGCUCCCUACGCCUCCCUCUCCUCCCCCUUGGGGGUGGGAAACCCUAGAGGGGGGCGCAGCCCCCUCUCCCCCUAUAAAUAGUGAGGCAUAGGGCUGCCCAUAACACGCGAUUCGAUCUCUCGUUGGUGCAGCCCUGCCCCUCUCCCUCCUCCUCCUCUCCCAUGGUGCUUGGCGAAGCCCUGCGGGAUUGCCACGCUCCUCCACCACCACCACGCCGUUGUGCUGCUGUUGGAUGGAGUCUUCCUCAACCUCUCCCUCUCUCCUUGCUGGAUCAAGGCAUGGGAGACGUCACCGGGCUGUACGUGUGUUGAACGCGGAGGUGCCGUGCGUUCGGCACUUGAUCAUCGGUGAUUUGAAUCACGACGAGUACGACUCCUUCAACCCCGUUCACUUGAACGCUUCCGCUUAGCGAUCUACAAGGGUAUGUAGAUGCACUCUCCUUCCCCUCGUUGCUGGUUUCUCCAUAGAUAGAUCUUGGUGACACGUAGGAAAAUUUUGAAUUUCUGCUACGUUCCCCAACAGUUGUUCCAUAUAAAUUUCCUCAUCCAACUCUCCAUUUAGGAAAGCAGUCUUAACAUCCAUUUGAUGAACGAGAAGACCAUGUGAGGCAGCUAGUGAAAGUAGAACUCGAAUAGUGGUCAGUCGAGCCACAGGUGAGUAAGUAUCAAAGAAAUCUUCACCUUCCUUUUGGGUAUAACCCUUAGCCACGAGCCGAGCCUUGUACUUUUCAAUAGUACUAUCAGGCCUAAGCUUCUUCUUGAAUACCCAUUUGCAUCCUAUAGGUUUGCACCCAUAAGGACGAUCAGUUAUCUCCCAAGUUUCAUUCGCCAAGAUGGAAUCCAUCUCGCUACGAACUGCUUCCUUCCAGUAGUCAGCAUCUUCAGAUGCAUAGGCCUCUGAAAUAGAACUGGGAGUGUCAUCUAUGAGAUACACAAGAAAAUCAUCACCAAAGGACUUUGCAGUCCUUUGUCUCUUGCUCCUAAUAGGAACUUCAUUGUUCUCCUCCACAGGACUUUCAAAGUGUUCCAUCGAAAUGGCAGGUUCGGUAAUUGUAACUGGUUCCUGAUUCGAUGAACUAGGCAUCUCCUUAUUAGAUGAGGUAGCCAUAUCCUUCAUGGGAAAGAUAUCUUCAAAGAAAGUCGCAUCAUUCGACUCCAUGAUCGUACCGACAUGCAUAUCAGGUACCUCAGAUUUUACAACCAAGAAUCUAUAGCCAAUGCUAUGAAAAGCAUAUCCCAAGAAAACACAAUCUAUAGUCUUUGGUCCAAGUUUCCGCUUCUUUGGAAUUGGAACAUUGACUUUCGCCAAACAACCCCAUGUUCGCAGAUAAGAGAGUUUUAACCUUUUCUUCUCCCACUCCUCGAAUGGAGUUAUCUCUUUGUUCUUUGUGGGGACUCGAUUUAGGACAUGACACGCUGUCAAUAUCGCCUCCCCCCACCAUGCCUUGGAGAGACCCGAUGUGUCUAACAUGGCAUUUACCAAAUCAGUUAGAGUACGGUUCUUUCUUUCGGCCACCCCAUUUGACUGAGGUGAGUAGGGAGGCGCCCUCUCAUGGAGUAUACCAUGUUCCGCACAAAAAGCAUCAAAUUCAUUGGAAAAAUACUCUCCACCACGGUCGGACCUAAGCCUCUUGAUUUUUUGAUCAAGUUGGUUUUCCACUUCAGCUUUAUAGAUCUUGAAAACGUUCAAAGCCUCAUCCUUAGAUUUCAGAAGAUACACACAGCAGUAUCUAGUGGAGUCGUCAAUUAACGUCAUGAAAUAUUUCUUUCCACCUUUUGUCAAAACACCAUUCAUUUCACAUAGAUCUGAAUGUAUAAGUUCUAGUGGUGCAAGAUUUCUCGUUUCCACGGUCACGUGAGAUUUACGAGCUUGCUUAGCUUGCACACACACUUGACACUUAGAUCCUUUAACGGUGGUGAAACUAGGGAUUAAGUUCAACUUCGCUAGUCACGACAUGCAACCAAAGUUAACAUGACAGAGUCGUGAAUACCACACAUUUGAUUCACUAUUGUUGCAAAUAUGAUUAACAACUUUAUUGCAAACGUCUAAUAAGGAUAAACGAAAUAGGCCUCCUGACUCAUAGCCUUUACCAACAAAGGUUCCAUACUUGGAUAUUACAAAUUUAUUCGACUCAAAGACAAGCUUAUAGCCAUCUCUACACAGAAGAGAUCCGCUAACAAGAUUUUUAUUGACGGAGGGGACAUAAUGCACGUUCUUCAGCCGCACGAUCUUCCCCGAAGUAAACUUCAGAUCGACCGUGCCAACACCACGAACAGAAGCACUUGAACCGUUGCCCAUCAGCACGGUUGAAGUCCCUGCGGUCUGAUAAGACGAAAACAUGGAAAUAUCACCGCAUACAUGCACAUUAGCACCCGUGUCAAUCAACCAGUCAGGAGAAUGACAUACUGAAAGAAUAGUGGGAAAUAUACCAUACCCAGCAUCCUUCAUGUCAGUGUCUCCAAUGACAACAUUAGCGGUCUUGCCGCCUUUCCCAGGAUGACGCUUGUCAUAGCGAUUAGGGCAACUAGGAGCCCAAUGAUCAGGAUCUCCACACACAUGACAAGCACCUUUCUUCUUGCCAUUCUUCUUCUUGAAGUUCGUGUGUUGCACAACCUUAUUCUUCCCAUCAAACUUUGCUUUACCAUCAAACUUGCCCUUGUUCUUGAACUUGUGGGGCUGGAAGUUCUGCUUCUAUACCACAUUGGCACUAGAUCCUCCCUCAAUACCUCGAGCACGUGUGUCCUUUGCUCUCGCCUUUUCUUCCACAUCAAGAGUACCAAUGAGGUCCGAAACCGAAAACUCAUGUCUCUUAUGUUUCAGUAAGGUAGCAAAGUUCCUCCAUGAAGGAGGAAGCUUAGUGAUGAUACCGCCGGCAACAAACUUGUCCGGUAGCAUGCAAUUGAAGUGCUCAAGUUCUCUAGCAAAUGACUGUAUCUCAUGAGCCUGCUCAACCACGGAGCGCUCUUCAGUCAUCCUGUAAUCAUAGAAUUGCUCCAUGAUGUACAGCUCAGUGCCGACAUCCGAGACCCCAAACUUGGCCUCGAGUGCGUCCCACAUAUCUUUUCCAUUAUCAAUUGACGCAUAAGCAUCAACUAUGUUCUCUCCAAGAACACUCAAGAGCGCAGCCUUAAACAACUAAUCCAUUUUCUGAAAAGCUUGUGCCUGUUGGGCAUCUUGCUCUCCUUCAGGUUUGCCAAGAGUGGCGUCAUAGCAACUCAUGGUUUGAAACCAUAAGACUGCUCUCACGCGCCACCUCUUAUAGUGGAUACCCUCAAACAUAGGAGGUCUCAUGGAAGCAGCAAAACCACUUGGGGUAAAUUGCCUAUAAUAAGGUUUUUGGAUUGUUGGAAAUAUGAGCAAUUUACCGAAUGAUUUUAUUAACAGAAAUAGUAGAUAAAACAUGACUAAAAUAGAAAAUAUAAAGCAAGUCAUGCAAUUUGACAGAGAGAAGGUAAACAUCGUCUGCAUAUAUGAACUUGAGGUAAACACAUCUAGAACAGUCACUAGAUGAAGUUGCUUAUACGACAUAGAACCUAACAUACGUAGGACAGAAACUAGAGCCAAGAACUGUAGCAGGACUUCUAACAGAAAGGAGAAGAACACGUACGGCACAGCAGCAGCAGAAGCGCUGGACUUGGGGUCGGUGUCCUCGCCUGCCAUGUCGUCGAGGAGGUCGUGGACAUCGGGGAAGAAGUCGUCGUCGGGGAAGUAGUCGUCGGCGACCGGAUCGUCCGUGAUGAAUCAGCCAGUAGUCGCGCAGAGCGCUCCCCAAAAACCUUAUCACCCUUCUCCCGUACAGGACUCAAAGAGUGCGGUUUCGGAGGCCUACUGUCCCGACCUGCGGUGCACGCCUCAAGCCGGGAUGGAGAAGAUCGUAGCAGCAACGCAGUGCUCAGGAACCGGUGGCGAGAGGAAGAAGUAGUUCUGGUGCGUCUUGCUGAGAGGAGCGACCUCCCUUUUAUAGGCGCAAGAGGGCAGCGCCAGGAGCUGAAGGGACCGAGGGAGAUGAAACGAACAGACAGCAGCCGAAGGGUGUAGCGUUCGCAUUUAAUCUCCACUACAGCAAAAAUUUAGACAUCGGCUCGGCUCAUUCCCGCAACCCGCAACCCGCAACCCGCAACCCGCGGCGCGUCGUGACGAGGCAGGCGGCGGAGGAGGAGCGCGCGUGGAUGUCCCUCUUGUUCUCAUGCUCAUACAAGUGGGGAAAGAACCCCCCUUAUAAGAGGUCCAACUCUCACUAAACUAGCAAUGUGGGGCUAAACUUUUAGUAGUAUCCCUUGCCUUGCACAAAUGGGCUAAGUGGGCCUCUAGGAUUUAUUAGGAAUUUCUGAAAUAGUUAUUGAACUGCCCAAAAUAGACUAAAUUCCAGCACUAUGAAGAUAGUAACAUAGUCUAGGAAUAUGUGUAUGUUACUAUUGUAUAUAUGUUACUCUCCAUUAUGACUAGUCUAAGGCUACCCAUAGUGAGAACAGCAUAGGUAGUAAUAUACUAGAUGCCACCUAAUCUUAAAAAUAAAAUAAAAUACCGUGACAUCUAAUUAAUGAGAGAGACAAAUAAAUAACAUAGGUAGUUAUCAUAACAUAGCCCUUCCCAAGAAAGAAUGGGUCUAUAAGAAAAUAAAUGAGGCUAUAUAUAAUACUAUCUUUAAAUUAUUUUGCACUACGAAGAUAAUAACAUAUAUAGAUUAGUAACAUACACAUGUUACUAGUCUAAGUUACUCCUCACUAUGACUAACCUCACGACGGGGUAAGAGCAGCUCCAACGCGACGACCCAUUUCAUCUGCCGCCAUCCGUUUGGGUAGCAGCGGACAUUUGUGAUGGCCCAACAUGCCGACCCAUUCUCAAAUGACGUCCGCUUCGCGUCCACGCGGACCCAUUUUCAGCCCAAAUUUGGGCCUGAAAUGACCUUCACUCUCCUCAAGUGAGGAGGGCAUAUUGUUUGACCAACGAAAGCCUCACUAGUUCCUUCUUCCCGUUCACUAUUCCCGUAGCCUGAUACGAGUUAUUUAGUUCGUGUCUCCUUGUUCUUGGGAAGAACCGAAGGUUCAUUCGCGGCACUCGUAGACAUAGCUGUAUUUCAGACCGUCGGAGCGGACGCCUCACGCGCCUUCUCGGUGUCCGCCGCGGCCCCACCUGGCGACCGCCCAACUACCGCGGUCAGCUUUCUUAAUGACGAUCCCCCAUCGCGGCCCACGCGUCAGUGACGGUGGCCGGCCUUUUUUAAUCUGAGCGUGCGGUGGGGAGCCGUCCUCAUCUGCUUCCAGACGCCCCGUCCCCAUCUCGCCACCCCUGUGCUUCCCCGUUGGUGACAAAGCCUAGCAAACCCUAGCUACCGCAAUGCCACCAGAAAUGGGCCUCUUCUCCGGCAAGGGAAAGGGCAAGGGCCCCGCCGUCCCUCCUCGCCGGCCAAGGCAGCGGAUCGCCGUCCCACUGCACCAGGCAAACAAUGGAUCCAGCGAAGGCUGGCCGAGUAGCGCGCCUACCUCGAACAAUGGAGCCAGCGAAGGUUGGCCAAGGAACGCCGUGAGGAUGAUUACCUCGAGUAGCUGGAGCACGAGGCCAAGGAGGAGGCGCGCUGUGCCCGGGGCGGAGCACCCCAGCCGGCGGCGGACGACGUCGCCAACGCCUGGAAUACGACGUUCCCGUGGGUUGACCCAGCGCCGACACUGAUCGUCCUCACCGGCCCCGACGACGACAAUGAAGACGUCUAGGCAGCGCCCCGCCUCGUAGUUUAGUUUUAGUUAUGUUUAACUAAUUUAAAUAUGGACGCAUGGACUCUCGCCGGCCUUUGUGGCAGACAUUAAUGUUUAAUUAAUGUUUUUGCAUUUUCAAAAUAUUUGUGUUCUAUUUUUCGCGCGCUAUAAAAAUUGGUCAGGCCAGCGUUGGACGUAUGUGCCGACCCAAACAUGAAAGAGGAUCGUGGGUGUCCACCGGGCCGACCCAAGCGGACAAAAAACGGAGAAAAUCGCCGUUCGUUUGGGUCGGUGCGUUGGAGUUGCUCUAAGCUCCACACCAUGGGCAGCAGUGGGCCUGCCUGAGGUUACAGCUUUUGAGUGUGAAGCUACGACUAUUCCUAGUUACCCCGGUGAGAAGCUGGCUGGUGUGAAGCAUGCCUCUGGACGCUGACCUCCUAGCGAUUCAAAGUCUCCGUUCUCAGUCAAGAAGAGCCUGUCUGUGACCUUGCCGGCUCGUUAAUCACCACUAGUUGGUGAUUUGAUACACCAUUUUCAUGUGUAAAUUGCGGCGAUGAUCUCUCAUGUAGGACCAGGCAACCUGUUUAUGUGGAAAACUUCAAAAAGGGCAGAUUAGUUCAAUUACUCUUUCGCAUUUUGAACUAUGUUGUGAUUUGAAACUGCAAGAAAUGUCAUGUUUAUAGUUAUUUGUUUCUAGCUCUUCCUAGUUCUGCUACGGGGCUUCAUUUUAAGACAAAAUAAGUAGAAACCUCUGUAUUUUUUCGAUGAAAUCUUGUAAGUUGGUGCCGAGAGCUAGAAAAAUGAAAUUCUCAUGAAAUAUUUGUACACAGGCAUCUGGCAGGUACGUCCAGUGUGUUUUUGUACAUGCAUAAAUUUUUUCAAAUGAACAAAAUAUCAAAGAAAAAACAUCCCUAGCUAGUAGAAGGUUGAGUAUCUCUAACAUCAUCUUCUUUACAAAUUACCUCAACACCCAACUCUUUGAAGACUUUCUCUUGUGCAUGGUUAUUCGUUGCUAAGAUCACUUUCUUUUAAAAACAGUGUCACGACAAGUCUCGGUUAUCUAGAUUAAAUAGAACAAAGGCGACAAAAUUAUUUCAGCUACUAGAAAAAACCUCUGGCCCUUCUUCACCCUGGUGAGAAGCUGGCUUGGUGUGAACCAAGCCUGCGGAGUCUGGACGCUCAAGCACAGCAAUCCUGAUCUCAUAGCGAUUCAAAGUCUCUGUUUUCAGUCAAGCAAAGCGUGCCUGUGGCCUUGCCAGCUCAUUAAUCACCACUAGCUGGUGAUUUGAUACGCCAUUUUCCUGUGGUUGCAGCAACCGACGAUCUCUCAUGUAGGCCCAGGCAACCUGUUUAUGUGGAAAACUUAAAAAGGGAGAUCAGUUCAAUUACUCUUCACAGUUUGCACAAUGAUGUGAUUUGAAACUACAAAUGUCAUGGUUAUAAUUAUUUGAAAGCUAGACACCUUGAUAAUUAGAAGUUUAGAACCUUACAGCCAUUAUCCAUCCACCCUUUAAGACCUUCAGCGUUUUUUACAUGAAGACUUCAUCUAAAUAUACUUUGUUUUAGUGCUUCCUCUCUGAGAAUAUAUCGAUUCCUGUAGUCAAGAUGAACAACCAUUUACUUGAGUUUUUGAAAUGACACUAUUGUCGUCGGUAACUUACCAGUGCAUUGGUAGUUUGGUACCUAGCAGGAUUGCAAAAGCACAGGAACAGACUGGUUACUGCCAAGAAACAGGAACCCGGACUGAUUCCAUUCCUGUAAAUUGGAUAAUUAGAAUGUUCAAACUCAGAUCUUAAGUUCUCAAAUUGGAACGGCUUUGGGACAUAUACACAAAUCAGUACUAAACUAAACUUCCCUGAUUCAGAACUUAUUUAUAACUCACAAGUUUGUAUGAUCUCCUGUUGGUAGAAUUACAGCAAACAUGUAUUUUCACAUGUGAUUUUCAGGUGAAAGAAAAGGCUGUGGAGCUUGCCAAGGCCAUGGAAUCUGAAGACGGCGUAACGGGUACAGUCAGGGCAUUCCUCAAACACCUGCCCUGUAAAACAGAUGAAAAUUCACCCCCACCAACGCACGGCUUUCUAGAGUUCCUAGGCCCAGUAAGUAAAUGUUUGGGGUGCUCUUAGGUGCUGGUCAGAUGCAGGUAUACCAUUCCUCCCUGCUGAACGGAGAGUGUAAAAAAGGCUCUUGGGUGACGCACUAUGCUAUUUCGUGCGAUAAGAAUGUGGAAGCCGAAUGUUAGAAGUUGAUGUACUUGCAUGCGACCAGGAGCCCGCGAUUUAUGGUUCUGCGUUUUUUUGUAUGUGUGUUGUGUAAAGAGUAUUUGUCUGGUGAUUUUAAUACAUCAUUUUGGUGUGGUUGCAACCUUGGCCUGCAGGAACAGAUGAUCCCACAUGUAUGACCAGGCAACCUGUGUAUAUGGAAAACUUCAGAGUGCAGAUUAGUUCAG